CAGCGCGAAGGCGCGAUGUUUUCGAGUUUUCAUAUUAUUAUGAUAAAUAAAACUUUCCUAGUGAGAUUUAAGAGUGGGUAUAUAUUAUCUAUGCAUUCUACGAGCUUUCUUUCAACAAAUUGUGGAAUAGCUAACGGUAAUACUUAUCAAAGAUCGAAGGACGAAGAUCAAACUGAGAGAAAACUAGUCGAGUGAUAAUAAACUGUCUGUUUUGUAUCCAAUGCAGCUGCUUGUGUGCGACGUUUUAUAAAGAAUUAAAUAAACAUUGUUGAUUAUAAGUAAUUUUUAUGUAUUGACCAAAGAAUAUCACUUGGGAUUUUAUUGUACUUUUAUGGAAGGAUAAAUCAGAGGGGACAUCUAUGGAAACGAAAUUCUUCAUGUGUAUUAAACAUGUAGUUAAUAUCAAAGCAGAAUAUUUUGAAACAAUUAACUGGUCGAGUGACAGGUUGGUUUCCGUAUGUAUGU
This 465-nucleotide long non-coding RNA is filed under the name Paramuricea clavata. The record is from RNAcentral. Lineage: Eukaryota; Metazoa; Cnidaria; Anthozoa; Malacalcyonacea; Plexauridae.